AUUGAACGCUGGCGGCAUGCCUAACACAUGCAAGUCGAACGGUAACGGACCGCUGGGAUUCCUUCGGGAUGACCUUGGUGCCGACGAGUGGCGGACGGGUGAGUAAUACUUAGGAAUCUGCCCAGUAGUGGGGGACAACAUUCGGAAACGGAUGCUAAUACCGCAUACGCCCUACGGGGGAAAGCGGGGGAUCUUCGGACCUCGCGCUAUUGGAUGAGCCUAAGUCGGAUUAGCUUGUUGGUGAGGUAACGGCUCACCAAGGCGACGAUCCGUAGCUGGUCUGAGAGGACGAUCAGCCACACUGGGACUGAGACACGGCCCAGACUCCUACGGGAGGCAGCAGUGGGGAAUAUUGGACAAUGGGCGCAAGCCUGAUCCAGCAAUGCCGCGUGUGUGAAGAAGGCCUGCGGGUUGUAAAGCACUUUCAGUAGAGAAGAAAAGCCUAGGGUUAAUAACCCUGAGUCUUGACGUAACCUACAGAAGAAGCACCGGCUAACUCCGUG
Molecule: ribosomal RNA, 503 nt
Filed under: uncultured Gammaproteobacteria bacterium
Lineage: Bacteria; Pseudomonadati; Pseudomonadota; Gammaproteobacteria
Description: bacterial SSU rRNA
Rfam family: Bacterial small subunit ribosomal RNA
Source: RNAcentral